AGUAGACCCGAAGCCAAGUGAUCUAUCCAUGUCCAGGCUGAAGCUCGGGUAAGACCGAGUGGAGGGCCGAACGGUAAUCUGAUGAAAAAGGUACUGAUGAGGUGUGGAUAGGAGUGAAAGGCUAAUCAAACUUGGAAAUAGCUGGUUCUCCCCGAAAUAGCUUUAGGGUUAGCCUUGCGUUAAGUGUGGCGGAGGUAGAGCACUGGAUGGACUAGGGCCUUUCACGAGGUACCAAACCCAACCAAACUCCGAAUACCGCUACAUGUUUCGCAGGAGUGAGACAGUGGGUGAUAAGAUUCAUUGUCGAAAGGGAAACAGCCCAGACCGUCAGCUAAGGUCCCAAAACAUAACUCAGUGGAAAAGGAAGUGUGAUUACCGAGACAGCCAGGAGGUUGGCUUAGAAGCAGCCAUUCCUUCAAAGAGUGCGUAACAGCUCACUGGUCGAGUAGUCAUGCGCCGAUAAUUCAACGGGGCUCAAGUUAUGUACCGAAGCUACGGAUGUAUUUCUUCAUUGAAAUACGUGGUAGGGGAGCAUUCUGUAUGCCGAUGAAGGUGUUGCGUGAGCGAUGCUGGAGGUAUCAGAAGGGAGAAUGCCGGUAUGAGUAUACGAAAAAACAGGUGAGAGUCCUGUUCGCCGAAAGCCUAAGGUUUCCUGGGUAAAGUAAAUCUGCCCAGGGUUAGUCGGCCCCUAAGAUGAGGCAGAAAUGCGUAGUCGAUGGGAAACUGGUUUAUAUUCCAGUACCUCUUUUAACUGCGAGGGGAUGACGCGUGAGGUGAAGCCCGGCCGGUUAUUGGUAUACCGGUCCAAGCAGCGAGUUUUUGAGGGAUGCAGGGAAAUCCGCAUUCUGAGGCGAGCUGUUAAGGCGAGUUUGUCUUCGGGCAAACGAAGCGGGUGUAAUCAUGGCGCCGAGAAAUAAUCUCUAAGCUUCAGGUUAAGAGGGACCGUACCGCAGACCGACACAGGUAGGCGAGAUGAGUAUUCUAAGGCGCACGAGAGAACCCGCGUUAAGGAACUCGGCAAAAUGCACACGUAACUUCGGGAGAAGUGUGGCCCUUGCUGGGAGUUAAAUCUUAUUGGGGGUUGCAGAGAAAUGGCCCAAACGACUGUUUACCAAAAACACAGGUCUCUGCGAAUCUGUAAAGAGACGUAUAGGGACUGACACCUGCCCGGUGCCGGAAGGUCAAGAGGAGGGGUUAGCCAGCACCAGACACAUUCUGAAACUUGAGUGUCUCUGGUGCUGGCGAAGCUCUGAAUUUAAGCCCCGGUAAACGGCGGCCGUAACUAUAACGGUCCUAAGGUAGCGAAAUUCCUUGUCGGGUAAGUUCCGACCUGCACGAAUGGUGUAACGAGUUGGGCGCUGUCUCAACGCGGGACUCGGUGAAAUUGAAGUAUCGGUGAAGAUGCCGAUUACCCAUGGUUAGACGGAAAGACCCCGUGAACCUUUACUGUAGCUUGACAUUGGGACUUGAGUUUUCAUGUGUAGCAUAGGUGGGACGCUAUGAAGCGGGAGCGUUAGCUUCUGUGGAGCGGUCAGUGAAAUACCACCCUUGGUAAUUUAGGUUUCUCACCAAUAUCGUGAAAGCCGGUAUUGGGACAGUGUCAGGUGGGCGGUUUGACUGGGGCGGUCGCCUCCUAAAGAGUAACGGAGGUGUGCGAAGGUUCCCUCGCGCUGGAUGGAAAUCAGCGUACGAGUGCAAAGGCAAAAGGGAGCCUGACUGCGAGACUAACAAGUCGAGCAGGCGCGAAAGCGGGUCUUAGUGAUCUGGCGGUGGCACAUGGAAGCGCCGUCACUUAACGGACAAAAGGUACUCCGGGGAUAACAGGCUUAUUUUGCCCAAGAGUUCACAUCGACGGCAAAGUUUGGCACCUCGAUGUCGGCUCAUCGCAUCCUGGGGCUGGAGCAGGUCCCAAGGGUUUGGCUGUUCGCCAAUUAAAGCGGUACGUGAGCUGGGUUCAGAACGUCGCGAGACAGUUCGGUCCCUAUCUGCCAUGGGCGUUGGUUGUUUGAGAGGAGCUGCUUUUAGUACGAGAGGACCGAAGUGGACGAACCUCUGGUGUACCAGUUAUCCUGCCAAGGGUAAGUGCUGGGUAGCUAAGUUCGGAUGGGAUAACCGCUGAAAGCAUCUAAGUGGGAAGCCCACCUCGAGAUGAGACAACCCUUGACCUUUAGGUCACUGUAGGUACCAGGAAGACUACCUGGUUGAUAGGUUGGAAGUGUAAGUGCAGUAAUGCAUUCAGCUGACCAAUACUAAUUUACCGUGAGGCUUGACCAUAU
RNAcentral lists this ribosomal RNA (2276 nucleotides) under Spirochaetaceae bacterium. Its description in RNAcentral is "partial 23S ribosomal RNA". It matches the Rfam family "Bacterial large subunit ribosomal RNA", at positions 708 to 2925 of the family's 2925-position model. Lineage: Bacteria; Pseudomonadati; Spirochaetota; Spirochaetia; Spirochaetales; Spirochaetaceae. The record is from RNAcentral.